GGAGAGGUGGCUGAGCGGUUGAAAGCAGCAGACUUGAAAUCUGCCGUACCUUUCGGGGUACCGGGAGUUCGAAUCUCCCCCUCUCCG
This 87-nucleotide transfer RNA is filed under the name Phycisphaerales bacterium. Its description in RNAcentral is "tRNA-Ser". It matches the Rfam family "tRNA". From Rfam's summary of the family: Transfer RNA (tRNA) molecules are approximately 80 nucleotides in length. Lineage: Bacteria; Pseudomonadati; Planctomycetota; Phycisphaerae; Phycisphaerales. The record is from RNAcentral.